This 843-nucleotide long non-coding RNA is filed under the name Vigna radiata. RNAcentral's name for it is "long non-coding RNA (VRAD_LNC002837)". The record is from RNAcentral. Lineage: Eukaryota; Viridiplantae; Streptophyta; Magnoliopsida; Fabales; Fabaceae.
AUGUGUUUCUAUAUAUUAAAAAUACACAGUCUCCAUAAACAAUAAUGUUUCUUACAAUGUUCAGUACAUUUGAACACAGGACAAAUAUCCUACAACAACCCAUACACCAAUAGCGCAUCCAGUAAUCUUAUGUUUUCGUCGUCCAGGAUCCAAUCAACUACAUAUUGCUUUCUAAAAGCAAGCAAUUCCUCCUGAAAUGAAAACAUUGAUAUUGUCAGAUCAACCCAAUCGUAAAACAAUAAUGAACAUUAGGGUUCACAACACACAAAAACCUAAGAUAAAAAAUAAUUAACUAUGGUUCCACCCAAAACAAGAAAUAAAGCCCACCCAAAACAAGAAACAGAGCCACAUAGCAAAACACACCCAAAAGGCCAAACGCGAAAGAAAACUUUAAAGGGAACACACCCACAACGCCAAACGCACCCAAAACGCAAAAGAAAACUUAUCGGUACAGAGUCAAUGCAAAAGACCACUUUUCCUUGAGAUGACGCCUUUCGAUAAACAAAGCCACCCGAAUGGAGAGACGAAGGAUGCUCAGAAUGGGAGAGACGCGAAUGGGACAGGCGAAUGGAGAGAGGCCGAAUGGGAGAGGAGAAUGGAGACAGGGCGAAUGGGAGAGAUGCGAAUGGGAGAAUGAGAGAGAAGAACAAUGCUCAGAACGAAAUUGAAAGAAGAUGAAAAAUGAAAUUGCCAAAUUCAAUUUUCAUACCAUCAGAUUGCCAAUUCUACCCUUCUGUGCUUUUUCAAAUGGAAUAUUUUAAUGUAUUUCAGUCAUCCAAUACAAAUUUGACACGUCAACCAGUGUCAAAUUUGUGUCAAAAGAUGGUGUUAAACAAACAUUUU